Molecule: RNase P RNA, 367 nt
Filed under: Clostridium cochlearium
Lineage: Bacteria; Bacillati; Bacillota; Clostridia; Eubacteriales; Clostridiaceae
Description: RNase P RNA component class A
Rfam family: Bacterial RNase P class A
About the family: Ribonuclease P (RNase P) is a ubiquitous endoribonuclease, found in archaea, bacteria and eukarya as well as chloroplasts and mitochondria. Its best characterised activity is the generation of mature 5'-ends of tRNAs by cleaving the 5'-leader elements of precursor-tRNAs.
Source: RNAcentral
CGAGUAAGCCAGACAGUCGCUGCUGCAUAAUUUGCAGGAGAGGAAAGUCGGAGCUCCAUAGAGCAGGGUGCUGGGUAACUCCCAGUAGAGGCGACUCUAAGGAUAGUGCAACAGAGAGAUACCGCCAAAGGACUUUUUAGGGACUUUGGUAAGGGUGGAAAGGCGAGGUAAGAGCUCACCAGCACACUGGUGACAGUGUGGCUAUGUAAACCCCACUUGGAGCAAGAUCAAAUAGAGAAGCAGGAAGAUUAACUUCCAGGGGCUGCUCGUCCCGCUUCCGGGUAGUAUCGCUAAAGCCUAUUGGCAACAGUAGGCUUAGAUAGAUGACUGUCUAAUACAGGACUCCGCUUAUAGACUUAGUCGCUUG